RNAcentral lists this long non-coding RNA (438 nucleotides) under Equus asinus (donkey). RNAcentral's name for it is "lncRNA (ENSEASG00005024314.1, ENSEASG00020019544.1)". Lineage: Eukaryota; Metazoa; Chordata; Mammalia; Perissodactyla; Equidae. The record is from RNAcentral.
CUGGAACUGACCUGUCCGAGCAUAUUUUUUAGUUUUAAAGCCUUAAGAAAGCACGAGGAGCUUCUCUAAACAUCUUGCUCCCUUCUUUAAUUCACCUAAUAUUCUUUAAACCCUAGACUUCUCAAGGACCUGCCAAGAACACCAUGUGCUCUCUUCAACUCCGUUUACCAAGUUAAGAUUUGGCUGCAGCUCGUCAGAAUUGGGAAUUGGUUUUACAACCUCUGAUGUUCCUCUCAACCCUCAGAAUCUACAAUAUUCUGCAUUAGGGCCCUUCCACACUUCAAGGACCAGCUCCGGGACCACCACCCCCAGGAAAGCUUCCAGAAUCUUGUGGCACAUUGUAAAGUCCUCUUCCUGCCUCGGUUUGGAGUGGGUCAGCCUCCUUAGAGUGUGUGUAAGCCUUUCUGGAAUUUUUACUGCAAUAGUAAUGCAUAACGA